RNAcentral lists this ribosomal RNA (464 nucleotides) under Vreelandella stevensii. Its description in RNAcentral is "partial 16S ribosomal RNA". It matches the Rfam family "Bacterial small subunit ribosomal RNA", at positions 338 to 795 of the family's 1533-position model. Lineage: Bacteria; Pseudomonadati; Pseudomonadota; Gammaproteobacteria; Oceanospirillales; Halomonadaceae. The record is from RNAcentral.
CCUACGGGUGGCAGCAGUGGGGAAUAUUGGACAAUGGGGGCAACCCUGAUCCAGCCAUGCCGCGUGUGUGAAGAAGGCCUCGGGUUGUAAAGCACUUUCAGUGAGGAAGAACGCCUGGUGGUUAAUACCCAUCAGGAAAGACAUCACUCACAGAAGAAGCACCGGCUAACUCCGUGCCAGCAGCCGCGGUAAUACGGAGGGUGCGAGCGUUAAUCGGAAUUACUGGGCGUAAAGCGCGCGUAGGUGGCUUGAUAAGCCGGUUGUGAAAGCCCCGGGCUCAACCUGGGAACGGCAUCCGGAACUGUCAAGCUAGAGUGCAGGAGAGGAAGGUAGAAUUCCCGGUGUAGCGGUGAAAUGCGUAGAGAUCGGGAGGAAUACCAGUGGCGAAGGCGGCCUUCUGGACUGACACUGACACUGAGGUGCGAAAGCGUGGGUAGCAAACAGGAUUAGAUACCCCAGUAGUC